Andrographis paniculata is the source of this 595-nucleotide long non-coding RNA. RefSeq lists it as uncharacterized. NCBI's taxonomy places the organism in Eukaryota, Viridiplantae, Streptophyta, Magnoliopsida, Lamiales, Acanthaceae. The record is from RefSeq and is a predicted model, not a curated record. The transcript is spliced from 2 exons.
GAAGAAUAUUAUUAGACAUGGAAUAUUAAUUAAAGUAGAAAUUUCUUGCCAGAUUCUGGGCUGCUUCUUAUAAUAUUGACUUAUGGCCUCACGACAAUAUGAGCAACAAUAAGAUUUCUUGCAGGUGGGAACGGUGACAUAAUUUCUCAGGCUUCCUACACCGUCGGAAUGAUUCUUCUGUCUGUUUCACUUAUUUCUGUCUUCAUAUUUGCUUGCGUCGAUAGGCCGCGGAGGCGGCGAAGACGAUGGGGAGGUGGCGGCGGCGGCGGCGGCUGUGGUGGGGGCGGCGGAGGUUGUGGCGGCGGCUGUGGUGGGGGCGGCGGCGGCGGCGGCGGCGGCUGUGGGGGCGGCGGCGGCGGCGGUUGAUGCUAAGGUUGUUUUUAAUUUAACUUGUCGCCGGGACUGGAAAAUUGGAGCUAGCUAUAGAUAAGGUGUUUGAUAUAUAUUUUAAUUUAUUUUUAAAGGUAAUAUAUAUAUAUAGAAAUUUAUAAUCGCUACUCUUUGAGUGUGUAUUUUGGAUAAACUUUGGCUGAAUAUUGCAGACUAUUUUAAUCUCGUUCAUAUGUAUUGUGGUUAUUUAAUUUUUUUGGUGUAA